Molecule: long non-coding RNA, 753 nt
Organism: Sebastes umbrosus (honeycomb rockfish)
Lineage: Eukaryota; Metazoa; Chordata; Actinopteri; Perciformes; Sebastidae
Exons: 2
Source: RefSeq, a predicted model, not a curated record
CCUCAUCCCUCCAACAGAAGAAAGAAACUGAGCCAUAUUUAAGCAGAUUUUUUGUCAUGACAAAAACAGUACAAAAAUACUAACUCUCUGUGCAUUUAUAUUUUUAAUCCCCAAUCUGCUCCACUUCCUCCCACUCCUGUGGACGCCACCAGGAUCCAUCCGGACAACGAAGACCUCUCUCCCGACACUUCUGACAAGAAGAAGAAAAAGAAGAAGAACGGCUUCAAACGUUUCCUGUCCUGGAUGAAGAAGGCCAUUUGCCCUUGCUGCAACGUGAAGAACGUGCAGGACUGACAGUUUCUACAGAGGUUUAGUAGCAAAAGACCUGAGAGGUGACCUCUCAAGUGUUCUGCUACAAAAGCAUUUGUAGUUGUCCUUACAGGCAGCAUGGUGGCAUUGUUGGUGUUUGUGUGAGUUUUCUCCGGUUGAUCCAGUUUCUCCCACUGGCCAAACACAUGCCUGUCAGAUUGGUUGGAGACUAAAUUGACGCUUAAAUGUUAUGCGUACGUUUAGUCCGGGUGAUCCGGUUUCUCCCCACUGGCCAAACACAUGCCUUUGAGAUUGAUUGGAGACUUAAUUGACGCUGAUAUCUCAUGCGUGGGUUUUUACUGGGUGAUCCGGUUUCCUCCUACUUAAAGGGACUGUUUGUAAGAAUCAGAAAUGCUUGUUAACAGCGACACCUGUGGCCGUUAAGUCAACGACCGGUUGUAACUGUAAAAUUAAAUAAAUAUAUCUACUCUUUAUCAUAUUACA